This 229-nucleotide ribosomal RNA is filed under the name uncultured bacterium. Its description in RNAcentral is "partial 16S ribosomal RNA". It matches the Rfam family "Bacterial small subunit ribosomal RNA", at positions 91 to 334 of the family's 1533-position model. The record is from RNAcentral.
UAAAGUGGCGUACGGGUGAGUAACACGUGGAUCAUCUACCUUCUAGUGGGGAAUACCGUUGGGAAACCGACGACAAUACCGCAUAAGCUCGAGAGAGGAAAGCAGCAAUGCGCUGGAAGAGGAGUCCGCGGUCGAUUAGUUAGUUGGCAGGGUAAAGGCCUACCAAGACUGUGAUCGAUAGCCGGCCUGAGAGGGCACACGGCCACACUGGCACUGAAACACGGGCCAG